Molecule: ribosomal RNA, 500 nt
Filed under: uncultured soil bacterium
Lineage: Bacteria
Description: bacterial SSU rRNA
Rfam family: Bacterial small subunit ribosomal RNA
Source: RNAcentral
AGAGUUUGAUCCUGGCUCAGAACGAACGCUGGCGGCGUGGAUAAGACAUGCAAGUCGGACGAGAUUUUUCGCUGUAGCAAUACGGUGGAAAAUUUAGUGGCGAACGGGUGCUUAACACGUGGGCAACCUGCCGAGAAGUGGGGGAUAGCUCGCCGAAAGGCGAAUUAAUACCGCAUGUGAUUAGAGAGGACAUCCUUUCGAAAUUAAAGUCGGGGCAACCUGACGCUUUUUGUGGGGCCCGCGGCCUAUCAGCUAGUUGGUGAGGUAACAGCUCACCAAGGCUUUGACGGGUAGCUGGUCUGAGAGGACGACCAGCCACACUGGGACUGAGACACGGCCCAGACACCUACGGGUGGCAGCAGUCGAGAAUUUUUGACAAUGGGGGAAACCCUGAUCGAGCGACGCCGCGUGGAGGAUGAAGGUCUUCGGAUUGUAAACUCCUGUCAUUGGGGAACAAGGUGCAUACGUUAACUGCGUGUGCAUUGAUAGUACUCGAAGAG